UACGGGGGGAGCAAGCGUUGCUCGGAUUUACUGGGCGUAAAGGGCGCGUGGGCGGCCACCGCAAGUCGACUGUGAAAUCUCCGGGCUUAACCCGGAAAGGUCAGCCGAUACUGCGGGGCUAGAGUGCAGAAGGGGCAACUGGAAUUCUCGGUGUAGCGGUGAAAUGCGUAGAUAUCGAGAGGAACACCUGCGGCGAAGGCGGGUUGCUGGGCUGACACUGACGCUGAGGCGCGAAAGCUAGGGGAGCGAACGGG
RNAcentral lists this ribosomal RNA (254 nucleotides) under uncultured bacterium. Its description in RNAcentral is "partial 16S ribosomal RNA". It matches the Rfam family "Bacterial small subunit ribosomal RNA", at positions 524 to 776 of the family's 1533-position model. The record is from RNAcentral.